CGUUUAUUGAGCUUUCCCUCGGGGAGCGGGAACCUAACUUGCCUUAGUGCUGCAGAAUCAGAAAGCGCGCGAGGGCGCCCACUCCCGGGACAGUAGGAAGAAAGGGGAAGGGCACCAACGUGCAAGGGGCAGGCAUCCAAACUUCAGGAGGAAAGCUUGGUUUCCCCGGGCUCGGCUUGGUCCUCCUCCUCUUUCCGCUGCCUGGGAAACCGCCCUCGGGUGCUCUCUGGCCUCUGGGACAGACAGGAAAGAAAACUCCUAAGCAGGGGAGGAUCUUAUUCCCUGACUCGCUUUUGGUUGCAAAGCCAGUCACCUGACCUCAGAGAUCUUUGCAAGGGUUUACGAACUGCAUCUUGUUGUUUUCCAAAGCAGGGGUCUGUGGUCUGUGGUCCGGAUGGACACCGACUGACUGAACCGGCGCCUCGCGAUGGGCAUGGAAGCCGCUUCCGCCCCCAAGCCCAUCAGAGGGCCGUGGUCAACGCCCUCCCCCCGCCCCGUUUCCUCAACAGCCCCUCCAAAUCUCCAUCGCCUGCCUCAAGCGGGAUCGUCCUCUCAUACCGUUCGGGACCCGAAGAGAUCAGAGGCCAGCUAGUCAAGAACUCUCCGUUUCCCGCACCCCCCCACCCCCGUUUGAACGUCCCUCUAUUUCUCUCCACCCACCCCUCCCCUUUCCCUUUGGUUUUCCAGGAAGAGGGAUUCAGCUUGGCAGUUCCAGGGGCCCGGCUCCACGUGGGGUGCCCUGGGAACCAUCUGCUCAGCCUCCCCCAAAGAUCUCGUUCCCUCAGUUUGCCAGCUGCUUUCUCUUCGGCCCGUCUCUUUCCUUAAGCCGCUGAGCACACCCAAGUCUCUCUCCCGGCAUCCACACCUCUCCUUUCUGCUCCUCCACCACCGCCUUCUCUCUCUACCUUUCACGGCUAAGCUGCUGCCAAAAGACCUCGACUCCUCUCCUCGUCAGCCAUCCAGUCAUCGCCUCGUCUCUCACCGGCUCCUCGAAAGACUCCCCAAAUCUCGUCGCCGUCCCGUCCUGGCAAGAGGCCAGGGCACGCCCUUCGGUUCCUUCGUCUUCCUAAACUCCCUGUGGUGUCUGAGGAAUGCUGCCCACGUCUUCAGUCUCUGCAAGUUCUCUCCACCCUCUUUCUCUGGGGGAUGGCCCCCUCCCCAGGUGCCCUUCCUAACCUCAGACCCCUCUGUCUCACUUUCCUCUGCGGCUUCUCCUCCCGACCACUUCUCAAAGGGUUCUGUUCCCGAAGGCACGGUCUUCAGGGAACAGGAACCCCUCGGGUCUCAGAGCAAGCUCAUGCGCUCUCCUACGAUUCGACUCGCCCCCCGGAUGCCCAGGGCUUCGGAGUGCGUACGACUGACGUCACCCUGCCCCUGACUCCACGCUGCUUUCUCUAACUGUCUGCUGGACGCACCUCUCAGGAUGUCCGAAGGCUUCUCAAAACCGACACGUCCAAAAGGGAGCCCGAACAACAGGAAGACGGCAGAUCAGAGAGCAGCUUGAUGGCAGCCCCCCCCCCCCGGCCCCCGCCCGAGCGGACAUCGUGCAGAGGCUUGGACCAGCUGAAAUGACGGAUCGCCCACUUUCCGCGUCACGGACAGAGAUCCUCGGCGUGCAACACGUCGAACCCCACUGACUUCGCACUUGUGACCCACGAAGAAAUACCAGUGACAGUCGCACCUGAGCAGAGGACUCUUCAAGCUUCACCCCCAGCGCUCUCCUGGUCCCACCCC
Long non-coding RNA from Equus asinus (donkey), 1734 nucleotides. The record is from Ensembl. NCBI's taxonomy places the organism in Eukaryota, Metazoa, Chordata, Mammalia, Perissodactyla, Equidae.